GUUGAAAACCGGGGGGAUGACUUGGGGCUAGGGGUGAAAGGCCAAUCAAAUUCCGUGAUAGCUGGUUCUCUCCGAAAUGCAUUUAGGUGCAGCGUCGGUCGAUUGCGUCGCGGGGGUAGAGCUACCGGAUGCUUGCGGGCCCUUGUUGGGUACCAACAGCAGCCGAACUCCGAAUACCGUUGACGUGUAUUCCGGCAGUGAGUCGGCGGGGGAUAAGCUCCGUCGUCGAGAGGGAGACAGCCCAGACCGUCGUCUAAGGUCCCGAAGCGUGUGCUAAGUGGGAAAGGAUGUGGAGUCGCAUAGACAGCCAGGAGGUUGGCUCAGAAGCAGCCAUCCUUGAAAGAGUGCGUAACAGCUCACUGGUCUAGUGGUUCCGCGCCGACAAUGUAGCGGGGCUCAAGCACACCACCGAAGACGCGGCAGCAAUCUUCAUGGUUGCUGGGUAGGAGAGCGUCCUGCAUGGGGCGAAGCGGCCGGGUAACCGUGCCGUGGACCGUGUGGGAGUGAGAAUGCAGACAUGAGUAGCGAGAGACGGGUGAGGAUCCCGUCCGCUGGAUGACCAAGGGUUCCGGGGCCACGUUCGUCGUCCCCGGGUGAGUCGGGUCCUAAGGCGAGGCCGACAGGCGUAGUCGAAUGGAUGAACGGGUGGAUAUUCCCGUACCGACCAUGGACCGGCAAAACCGAGACGGUGAGUACUAACCUCCGCCUCGUGGUGGUUCCUUCCUUCGGGUUGGUUCCGCCGCGUGGUGUUGGGAGCGUAGCCGCAGUAGGUCAGCGCAGGGGUGACACGGAAUGGGAGCCGGCCGCGGAGGUGGUUUUCCGUGGUCAAGCACGCAGCCAGUCAUGUAGGCAAAUCCGCAUGGCGCGCAUGGCGAGGUGUGAUGAUGGGAGCCGUUAUGGCUCGAUAUCCGGUUGUCCAGGCCGUCGAGAAAAGCCUCGGCGUGAGGGCCAUGGCCGCCCGUACCCCAAACCGACACUGGUGGUCAGGUAGAGAAUACCAAGGCGAUCGAGCGAAUCCUGGUCAAGGAACUCGGCAAAUCACUCCCGUGCCUUCGGUAUAAGGGAGACCCACUGGGGUGAAGGACCUUGCGUCCGGAGCUUUGGUGGGUGGCACAGACCAGGGGGUAGCGACUGUUUACCAAAAACACAGGUGCAUGCGAAGGCGAAAGCCGCUGUAUAUGCACUGACGCCUGCCCGGUGCCGGAAGGUUAAGAGGAUCCGUCAAUCCUUCGGGAUGAAGCGGUGAAUUCAAGCCCCGGUAAACGGCGGUGGUAACUAUAACCAUCCUAAGGUAGCGAAAUUCCUUGUCGGGUAAGUUCCGACCUGC
This 1327-nucleotide ribosomal RNA is filed under the name human gut metagenome. Its description in RNAcentral is "bacterial LSU rRNA". It matches the Rfam family "Bacterial large subunit ribosomal RNA", at positions 788 to 1991 of the family's 2925-position model. The record is from RNAcentral.